UUCAAUUGCCCAUUGAUCCUAAAUUAUCAGGUUAACGGUCCAGAAUACAGGAGCCAGGCAAACACAAGGAAACUUUUUGGGUUGAAUUUCAUCAUGUAUAUUUUUUUCAAAUUCUUAGGUUGUAAUGUAAAAAAAUGUUCAGGUGACUUGUAGGAAGUGGCUGGAAGUGGAAAAAUACGAAUUAAAUCCAUUAUCAGUAUGUACUGUACGCUUAAUGUCCAGGAUUUAAGAAUCCUAAAGCAAGGAAGGGAAAAAAAGGGAGGGAUUGGUAAAAAAAUUUUCAUAGUGAGGUCCGUUGAAAAAUCAAAAUUAUUUUUAAAAUAAUUCUAAGUAAUAUAGAUUGGUAAUUUGAUAAUAUAAAGAAAUAAGAAUAAGAUUGAAAAAUGUUGACAAAACUGUAUCUAAGAUGAUUGUGGCUAUUCUGUGGGAUCUACCUCAUUACAUAUUAAUUUUUUAACAUUUAUAUUUCAGGCUAUUGUCAUUAUUUUUUAAUUUUAAGUGAAUAUUUUUCAUUCACUAAUAAUUUACCCCAUCAAAGUUAGUCGUCAUCAUUACUGUCAAUAAUAUUACUAGUAUCAACACUGCCAUCACUAUUAUUACUACUAUGACCGCCACUUUCAUAUUGCUAAUUUUUUAAUGUUUGUAUGAAAUCUUUUUCCCCCCACAGGACAGAUGCGUGAUAGUGUUCUGCGGCGCCUUUAUGCAUUAAAUAUCCAGCAAUUUUCCCGGUUGGAGCAGUUGUUGAGACAGCCGGCAGACAAUUCAGCAACACCCCCACCCCAAAUUCCGAACACCGAGCCGGAGACUCUCAUGUCAAAAUGCCCUUUAAGAAGUGUUGCUGAUUUCAGAAAUUUGAAAAGAUUUUCAAAAGCAAGGCUAAACGUAACCUAAUGAGACAAGAGCUGAAGCUGCACAUGUCUGACAGUCCCAAAUCAUCAUGCCGUUCCAUUGCAGCACUAAUUUUUGCUGACGAACUUGCCGAACACUUUACCUGGAAGGGUCGCUCAUCAAGAAACCAAGCCAUGAAAAAAGAAAGAUUUAUGGACACGAGAGUAUACAACCUCAUUUAUCAAGCUAUCAACUUGUGUUUCCCUACCGAGAAAAUGACUGCUGAAGUAUAUAAGAAAAACCUUCAGAAUUUCUUUAUUCAAGCCAAAUUUCGUAUACUAAGAAAACAAGAAAGAGCAGCAGCUAGGGUAGCCAGACGUCAAGCAGCUGCAAGUUUGGAAGCGGGAGAAUCGUCCGAAUCGGAACCUGAAAGCGACUAAGUAUCUUGAUCGAAACUUUGUAGCCUUCUUUUGUAUUCUUUUCUUUUUUUAUCUAAACAUCCAUUUUUGACUGUAUCUUGACCUACCUACAUCGAGAAGUCGCAUUUGUAAAACUGACACUUCUUUUAGUGUUGUGGGGCAUGAACAAGUUUUUAAACAAAAUUAAAGCCUGUUAAUCUUAGCUACACAGCCAGAAAUAAAAACGUCCACUGUGAUUGUCAAAAAUGCUCAAAAAGGAAGAAGACAAAUUUAUUUCAAAUUAAGGAAAGUAUUUAAAAAAAACUUCUUUCUCCCUAUUUUUUCCUUGAUUACUUUUAACAAGCACAAAAGUGUUUUCCAUAUUGCUUUUUACACAGAGGAGAUUAGUACCCUUCAUUCUUGUUCAGAAACUUGUUCAUGUCUCAAAAGUGCAGCUUUAAAAGCUACUGGUUCUUGUGCUUAUGAUGAAGGAGGGUCCUUAAUGAAUUUUUUUAUUAAAUUUCCUCUUGGAGCACUUAAAAAGUGUAAGUUUUACUUAUGGUCAUUUUCCAUUCUAGAGUGUUUAAGCUUUGACCCAAGUCUCUAAGGGAUGUAAGUCAACGUCAAUGGCUAGAAAGCAAUAAUGAAAGCCUUAAAUGCGGUUUUUCUUUAUGGGCCCUUUUUUGGAGAGGUCUUCAAUUAUAUUCCUAACUCUUAACUUAAAGUUACUAAAAAUACUUAAUUCUAGGUACCUUUAAAGUGUGAUAUGUACUGAAGUAAACUUUAUUAAUACGUAAAACGUAUGUACGUACGUAAGUGUUACGUAUUUUACUUAAAUGUUACGUAUUUUACUUUAAUGUUACGUAUUUUACGUAAAAUUUGCAAUACUUGAGUCAGGUUUUUUGUUACCUAAUACUUACCUAAAAUUUCUUUGUAAUAUUUGAGUCAAGUUUUUCUGUUACCAAAUGGUUGUUUGUUGACUCGUAUGUUAAAAGUAAUGUGCCUAAAUCAUUCCCUGAACCAAGUACAAUUUUUUGCCCCUGUCUUUUUUUCAAGUAGUAUUGAAUAUAUAUUUAAUGGCCUCGUACUCCCAACACCUCAAUUAAUUCUAAUUAAAUUGAUGUAUAUGUAUUAAACUACAUGUCACCUUCUGGCGAAAGUAUCACAAGUGCCAUUCAACGUUUCAAAAUUUCCGCCGCCAUUUUAUUUUUUAAUAGAGAAAAUGUUGGUUGAAUCUGUUAGAAAAUUUCAGUGAAUUUUCGUCGUGCUGCCGAUGAAAUUAAGUGAAAUUUUCAAACGGAUUCAACGAACAAUUUCUCUGUUACAAAUAAAAUGUCAGCGGAAAUUUUGAAACGUCGCAUGGCGCUUGUGAUACUUCGGCCUGGAGCUGACAACAUGAUGUUUUCAAAUUUCAAAAUUCUAUUUGUAAAUUUGCAUUACCAUCUCUUGAAAACAUAAUGUAGUUUAAUACAAUUUGAUACAGUAAUUAUUAUUAUUAUUUUUUUUUUACUUUUAACUCAAUUUAUACCUACUCCAAUUUAUUUGUAUCCAUUGCUUAGCCAGGCAAAUUUGGCAUCAUAGUGUAUUAAUUCUUAAUUUUCUAUUGAUAUUUCUGCACUGACUUUCUUUUCAAAAGUUGCCUCACUUUCUGAGGUUAUUAACUUCAGACAUUCUUCUGCGAAAAAGGCAUGCAGCCAUCGCUAUAUUCAAUUCAUCGUAUUGUUAAAUCAUUGUAUUGAUCGUAUGUGAUCUAUUGCUUAAUAACCAUUGCUUAGCCAGCCAAAUUUGGCAUCAUAGUGUAUUAGUUCUAAAUUUAAUUUUUGAAUAUUUCUGCACUGGCCUUCUUUUCAACAGUAAUAGUGUUGCCUCACUUUUUGAGUUUAUUAGUUUCAGACAUUUUCAUGCCGAAAGGGCAUGCAGCCAUCUCUAUAUUCAAUUCAUCGUAUUGUUGGAUCAUUGUAUUAAUCGUAUGUAAUCUAUUGCUCAGUAUCCAUUGCUUCGCUAGCCAAACUUGGCAUCAUAGUGUAUUAAUUCUAAAUUUGUUUUUUGAAUAUUUCUUUACUGGCCUUCAUUUCAACAGUACUCGAGAUGCCUCCUUUUCUGAGUUUAUUAGUUUCAGACAUUUUUAUGCCGAAAAGGCAUGCAGCCAUCUAUAUAUUCAAUUCAUUGUAUUGUUGAAUCUUUUUAUUAAUUGUAUGUGAUCUAUUGCUCUCAUUUUUUAUUAAUGUUUUCUCUUGUCCAAUGUAACUUUGAAUGUGUUCUCUUUAUAGUGAGUCAUAAUUUAAUUUUUUUGUUUUUUUUUAAAGUUAAGAAUAUUUUUCUCAUUCUUUUAUUUUUUGGAUUUAUUAUUUCAUACAUAUUUUUCUUGUUUAUUUCUGUUUAUAGUAAUAGGAUCUAUUUCAAUAAAUGGAUUUAUUUUUUCAAUAUUUUUUUUCUCUUUCCAAUCUAAUAACUAUCACUAUGCUAUGAGCUUCUUAGCUUUUCCUCCCAACUCUUAAUUUAAUUUUCUCAAAUAUUUUUUGAUUUUCAAUUUCUCUGAUUCACGAACCUCCGAAGAAAAAGUGCAGAGAAAUGAAGAUACCUUAAAAUUUUAUCAAAUCAUUUUUUACAGAUCUGUAUGUACGUUGACCUAAUCAGUCUCAGUUACCUACAAUGUUCGUUCCUGAAAAUGUUUUCAUUUGUUGCAAGCAUGUCCAUGUAAUUAUUUCCACCACUUUCUUUUAAUUAAUAAUUUCAUAUGUUUUUGUGAGAUUAGCUGUACCCUCUUAAAAUUAUCAAGUGUUGUUUUCAUCUUUGCAAAGUGAUUCCAAAAACAUUUUAGAGGCAUACUCCAAAAUAGCCACUGAUAUUUCCUCUUAGCUUCAUACGAAGUCAAUAUUUUUAAGCAGACAUGUCAACUUAAGUGAAUAUUAAUAACCGUUUGUUAGUACUACCUCUAUCAGAAAGAGUUACUAUCAUGUGUAGAUGAUUCUUUGAGUACAUUUUACAGUGUGGUUCG
Molecule: long non-coding RNA, 4224 nt
Filed under: Bemisia tabaci
Lineage: Eukaryota; Metazoa; Arthropoda; Insecta; Hemiptera; Aleyrodidae
Description: lncRNA ENSSSA1UGG003242
Source: RNAcentral